CACUAGUUUUUUUGCAGAUCGUUGGGCGCAUUUGACAGUUGACAUGUUCAUAUGAAAUAGGAUUCCAUGUGUAACCCAACAGCCUUCACCUAUAUAUACAACUUGCCGCAAGGACGCUUAUUUUUGCCCUACUCGGCCGCAGAGUUGGGUCAUAUAUAUUAAGCUGCAAGUUACCAAAAACUAACGGCAUGUUUGAAUUGAGGAGAGAGGGAGGGGAUGGAGGUGAACAGAGCAGCGUCAGCUGAAAAUAGCUCAUUUUGAGCUAAUUUUACCGGCUGAGGGUGAAGACACUAAUUCACGCGAAGUACUUCACCUAACAUAGGUUCCCUAGCACCUGCACACCUUUCACUUCACCAAUUUCAUUUUACUCAUACUUCUGCACUUAUCCUCCAGUAACAGCUAUCCUUACCGAUCAAAUACCCAUUCUUUUGUUGUCCAUGACAGUUUCCAUUUGAGAUUUGAAGAAAAGAAAGAAAGAUGAAUAUGAGUGCUACAGCUUAUUGAGGAUUUAGCAAAAUGAGAAAUAUUUAUUUGGGUUAUUUUGUUCAAGUUUGAUGGGGGUAUUUAUGGUAAAUCGUACUUUAAAAAUGCAUUUUACAACACUUCAUAAUGAUGUUUUCAAAUUCGCUGGAGAUACUGUAGAGUCUGUUUAUGCUGAUUAAAUCUAUAUUUUUAUAAUUUUUUUAUCUAUUUUUUUUUUAAGAUUAAAAAUUAUUAUUUAAAUACAUGUACUAAACCAACCUUAAUUUGUAAGUUUGUUUUGAAAUCUGAUUUCAAAAAAGUUAGAAUAUGCAUAACCAAACGGGUAGAAACGCUUUAUUUUCAAAAAAUGCGAGGCCAAAGGGACCCUAAUUAUAACCUUUUAUAUGUUUAUGAAAAAAAAAAAAAAAAAUCUACCAUUUCAGUCAAAAAAAAGGAAAAAAAAAAAAA
Molecule: long non-coding RNA, 930 nt
Organism: Quercus lobata
Lineage: Eukaryota; Viridiplantae; Streptophyta; Magnoliopsida; Fagales; Fagaceae
Exons: 2
Source: RefSeq, a predicted model, not a curated record